UAAGGAAUAUUGGUCAAUGGGCGAGAGCCUGAACCAGCCAUGCCGCGUGCAGGAAGACGGCCUUAUGGGUUGUAAACUGCUUUUACCGGGGAAUAAACCUAUCUACGUGUAGAUAGCUGAAGGUACCCGAAGAAUAAGCAUCGGCUAACUCCGUGCCAGCAGCCGCGGUAAUACGGAGGAUGCAAGCGUUAUCCGGAUUCAUUGGGUUUAAAGGGUGCGCAGGCGGAUUGGUAAGUCAGUGGUGAAAUUCAACGGCGCAACUGUUGAUCUGCCAUUGAUACUGUCAGUCUAGAGUAUAGUUGGAGUGGGCGGAAUGUGUCAUGUAGCGGUGAAAUGCUUAGAUAUGACACAGAACACCGAUCGCGAAGGCAGCUCACUAAGCUAAAACUGACGCUCAUGCACGAAAGCGUGGGGAUCAAACA
This 422-nucleotide ribosomal RNA is filed under the name uncultured prokaryote. Its description in RNAcentral is "bacterial SSU rRNA". It matches the Rfam family "Bacterial small subunit ribosomal RNA", at positions 355 to 774 of the family's 1533-position model. The record is from RNAcentral.